GCCGCCGUUAUCCGGUGGUGGGACAAUGCCAGGCGGGGAGUUUGACUGGGGCGGUCGCCUCCGAAAGGGUAUCGGAGGCGCUCAAAGGUUCCCUCAGAAUGGUCGGAAACCAUUUGAAGAGUGCAAAGGCAGAAGGGAGCUUGACUGCGACACCGACGGGUGGAGCAGGUACGAAAGUAGGACUUAGUGAUCCGGUGGUAUAAAGUGGGAUUGCCAUCGCUCAACGGAUAAAAGCUACCCUGGGGAUAACAGGCUUAUCACUCCCAAGAGUUCACAUCGACGGAGUGGUUUGGCACCUCGAUGUCGGCUCAUCGCAUCCUGGGGCUGUAGCAGGUCCCAAGGGUUGGGCUGUUCGCCCAUUAAAGCGGUACGCGAGCUGGGUUCAGAACGUCGUGAGACAGUUCGGUCCCUAUCCGGCGCGGGCGGAGGAUAUUUGAGAGGAGCUGCCCCUAGUACGAGAGGACCGGGGUGGACGGACCACUGGUGUAUCAGCUGUCGACCAACGGCAUAGCUGAGUAGCCAAGUCUGGACGGGAUAAACGCUGAAGGCAUCUAAGCGUGAAGCCCCCCUCAAGAUGAGAUAUCCCCUCCUUCAAGGAGAUAAGAUCCCUUAAAGACGAUAAGGUAGAUAGGUUCAAGGUGUAAGUGUGGUAACACAUUCAGCUGAUGAAUACUAAUAGAUCGAAGGUUUAUUCUAAA
RNAcentral lists this ribosomal RNA (698 nucleotides) under Pseudobutyrivibrio ruminis. RNAcentral describes it as "bacterial LSU rRNA". It matches the Rfam family "Bacterial large subunit ribosomal RNA", at positions 2229 to 2925 of the family's 2925-position model. Lineage: Bacteria; Bacillati; Bacillota; Clostridia; Lachnospirales; Lachnospiraceae. The record is from RNAcentral.